This 2883-nucleotide ribosomal RNA is filed under the name Xanthomonas campestris pv. campestris. RNAcentral's name for it is "23S ribosomal RNA". It matches the Rfam family "Bacterial large subunit ribosomal RNA". The record is from RNAcentral. Lineage: Bacteria; Pseudomonadati; Pseudomonadota; Gammaproteobacteria; Lysobacterales; Lysobacteraceae.
GGUCAAGCGAAUAAGCGCACACGGUGGAUGCCUAGGCGGUCAGAGGCGAUGAAGGACGUGGUAGCCUGCGAAAAGUGUCGGGGAGCUGGCAACAAGCUUUGAUCCGGCAACAUCCGAAUGGGGAAACCCACUGCUUCGGCAGUAUCUUGCAGUGAAUUCAUAGCUGCUUGAAGCGAACCCGGUGAACUGAAAUAUCUAAGUAACCGGAGGAAAAGAAAUCAACCGAGAUUCCCUGAGUAGUGACGAGCGAACGGGGAACAGCCCUUAAGCUGGAAUGGCUUUAGAAAAACAAUCUGGAAAGAUUGGCCAUAGAAGGUGAUAGCCCUGUAUUUAAAAGGGCCACUCCAGUGAAGACGAGUAGGGCGGGGCACGUGAAACCCUGUCUGAAUAUGGGGGGACCAUCCUCCAAGGCUAAAUACUCCUGACCGACCGAUAGUGAACCAGUACCGUGAGGGAAAGGCGAAAAGAACCCCGGAGAGGGGAGUGAAAUAGAUCCUGAAACCGUGUGCGUACAAGCAGUAGGAGCUCGCAAGAGUGACUGCGUACCUUUUGUAUAAUGGGUCAGCGACUUACUGUUCGUGGCAAGCUUAACCGUAUAGGGGAGGCGAAGGGAAACCGAGUCUGAUAAGGGCGCAUAGUCGCGGGCAGUAGACCCGAAACCGGGUGAUCUAGUCAUGGCCAGGGUGAAGGUGCCGUAACAGGUACUGGAGGCCCGAACCCACGUCUGUUGCAAAAGACGGGGAUGAGCUGUGAUUAGGAGUGAAAAGCUAAUCGAACCCGGAGAUAGCUGGUUCUCCUCGAAAGCUAUUUAGGUAGCGCCUCGGACGAAUACUACUGGGGGUAGAGCACUGUUAUGGCUAGGGGGUCAUCGCGACUUACCAAACCAUUGCAAACUCCGAAUACCAGUACGUACUAUCCGGGAGACACACGGCGGGUGCUAACGUCCGUCGUGAAAAGGGAAACAACCCAGACCCACAGCUAAGGUCCCAAAUUCACUGCUAAGUGGAAAACGAUGUGGAAAGGCAUAGACAGCCAGGAGGUUGGCUUAGAAGCAGCCACCCUUUAAAGAAAGCGUAAUAGCUCACUGGUCGAGUCGGUCUGCGCGGAAGAUUUAACGGGGCUAAGCAGUGAACCGAAGCUUGGGGUGCGUAAAACUUCGGUUUUAUGCGCGGUAGAGGAGCGUUCCGUAAGCCUGCGAAGGUGGAUUGAGAAGUCUGCUGGAGGUAUCGGAAGUGCGAAUGCUGACAUGAGUAACGAUAAUGCGGGUGAAAAGCCCGCACGCCGAAAGCCCAAGGUUUCCUUGCGCAACGUUAAUCGACGCAGGGUUAGUCGGUCCCUAAGGCGAGGGCGAAAGCCGUAGUCGAUGGGAAGCAGGUUAAUAUUCCUGCACCUCGCGUGAGUGCGAUGGAGGGACGGAGAAGGUUAGGUGUACCGGGCGUUGGUUGUCCCGGGGAAAGGCGGUAGGUUUGGAUCUUUGGCAAAUCCGGGAUCCUUUAAGACCGAGCACCGAGACGAGCCUUUAUGGCGAAGUCACUGAUACCACGCUUCCAGGAAAAGCUCCUAAGCUUCAGCUCACGAAGACCGUACCGUAAACCGACACAGGUGGGUAGGAUGAGAAUUCUCAGGCGCUUGAGAGAACUCGGGUGAAGGAACUAGGCAACAUGGCACCGUAACUUCGGGAGAAGGUGCACCCUUUUUGGUGGCUCAUGCGAGCUAUAGCUGAAGAGGGUCGCAGAAACCAGGCCGCUGCGACUGUUUAUCAAAAACACAGCACUCUGCAAACACGAAAGUGGACGUAUAGGGUGUGACGCCUGCCCGGUGCUGGAAGGUUAAUUGAUGGGGUCAGCCGCAAGGCGAAGCUCUUGAUCGAAGCCCCAGUAAACGGCGGCCGUAACUAUAACGGUCCUAAGGUAGCGAAAUUCCUUGUCGGGUAAGUUCCGACCUGCACGAAUGGCGUAACGACAGCGGCGCUGUCUCCACCCGAGACUCAGUGAAAUUGAAAUCGCUGUGAAGAUGCAGCGUUCCCGUGGCAAGACGGAAAGACCCCGUGAACCUUUACUAUAGCUUUACACUGAACGUUGAGUUCGUCUGUGUAGGAUAGGUGGGAGGCUAUGAAACUGUGGCGCUAGCUGCAGUGGAGCCAACCUUGAAAUACCACCCUGUCGUGCUUGACGUUCUAACCUAGAUCCGUUAUCCGGAUCAGGGACCGUGUAUGGUGGGUAGUUUGACUGGGGCGGUCUCCUCCUAAAGAGUAACGGAGGAGCACGAAGGUACGCUCAGCGCGGUCGGACAUCGCGCACUGUGUGCAAAGGCAUAAGCGUGCUUGACUGCAAGAUCGACGGAUCAAGCAGGUACGAAAGUAGGUCUUAGUGAUCCGGUGGUUCUGUAUGGAAGGGCCAUCGCUCAACGGAUAAAAGGUACUCCGGGGAUAACAGGCUGAUACCGCCCAAGAGUUCAUAUCGACGGCGGUGUUUGGCACCUCGAUGUCGGCUCAUCACAUCCUGGGGCUGUAGUCGGUCCCAAGGGUAUGGCUGUUCGCCAUUUAAAGUGGUACGCGAGCUGGGUUCAGAACGUCGUGAGACAGUUCGGUCCCUAUCUGCCAUGGGCGUUGGAAGUUUGAGAGGGGCUGCUCCUAGUACGAGAGGACCGGAGUGGACGAACCUCUGGUGUUCCGGUUGUCACGCCAGUGGCAUUGCCGGGUAGCUAUGUUCGGAAGCGAUAACCGCUGAAAGCAUCUAAGCGGGAAGCGCGCCUCAAGAUGAGACUUCCCGGGGCACAAGCCCCCUAAAGGAACCAUAUAGACUAUGUGGUUGAUAGGUCAGGUGUGUAAGUACAGCAAUGUAUUGAGCUAACUGAUACUAAUGAUCCGUGCGGCUUGACCAU